GAUGAACGCUGGCGGCGUGCCUAAUACAUGCAAGUCGAGCGAACAGACGAGGAGCUUGCUCCUCUGACGUUAGCGGCGGACGGGUGAGUAACACGUGGAUAACCUACCUAUAAGACUGGGAUAACUUCGGGAAACCGGAGCUAAUACCGUAUGAUAUAUUGAACCGCAUGGUUCAAUAGUGAAAGACGGUUUUGCUGUCACUUAUAGAUGGAUCCGGGCGGCAUUAUCUAGUUGGUAAGGUAAAGGCUUACCAAGGCAACGAUGCGUAGCCGACCGGAGAGGCGGAUAGGCCACACGGGAACGUAGACACGGUCCAUACUCCUGCGGGACGCAGCAGUAGGGAAUCGUCCGCAAUGGGCGAGAGCAUGACGGAGCGACGCCGAGCGAGUGAUGACAGUCUUCGGAUCGUAAAGCUCUGUUAUGAGGGAAGAACAAAUGUGUAAGUAACUAUGCACGUCUUGACGGUACCGAGUCAGAAAGCCACGGCUAACUACGUG
RNAcentral lists this ribosomal RNA (497 nucleotides) under uncultured bacterium. RNAcentral's name for it is "partial 16S ribosomal RNA". It matches the Rfam family "Bacterial small subunit ribosomal RNA", at positions 28 to 507 of the family's 1533-position model. The record is from RNAcentral.